This 310-nucleotide ribosomal RNA is filed under the name uncultured bacterium. Its description in RNAcentral is "bacterial SSU rRNA". It matches the Rfam family "Bacterial small subunit ribosomal RNA", at positions 28 to 334 of the family's 1533-position model. The record is from RNAcentral.
GAUGAACGCUGGCGGCGUGCUUAACACAUGCAAGUCGAACGAAGCAGGAGGGUGCUUGCACCUUCCUGCUGAGUGGCGGACGGGUGAGUAACACGUGGAUAAUCUGCCCUGCACAGGGGGACAACAGCUAGAAAUGGCUGCUAAUACCGCAUAAGCCUACAGCCUCGCAUGAGGGAGUAGGAAAAGAAAUUCGGUGCAGGAUGAGUCCGCGUCUGAUUAGCUAGUUGGAGGGGUAAAAGCCCACCAAGGCAACGAUCAGUAGCCGGCCUGAGAGGGCGACCGGCCACAUUGGGACUGAGACACGGCCCAA